This 377-nucleotide ribosomal RNA is filed under the name uncultured delta proteobacterium. Its description in RNAcentral is "bacterial SSU rRNA". It matches the Rfam family "Bacterial small subunit ribosomal RNA", at positions 521 to 896 of the family's 1533-position model. The record is from RNAcentral. Lineage: Bacteria; Deltaproteobacteria.
UAAUACGGAGGGUGCAAGCGUUGUUCGGAAUUACUGGGCGUAAAGCGUGCGUAGGCGGCCUCGUCAGUCGGGUGUGAAAGCCCUGGGCUCAACCCAGGAACUGCAUUCGAUACUGCGAGGCUUGAGUAUGGGAGAGGGAAGCGGAAUUCCUGGUGUAGCGGUGAAAUGCGUAGAUAUCAGGAGGAACACCCGUGGCGAAGGCGGCUUCCUGGCCCAUUACUGACGCUGAGGCACGAGAGCGUGGGGAGCAAACAGGAUUAGAUACCCUGGUAGUCCACGCCGUAAACGAUGAGUGCUAGGUGUUGGGAGUGUUGACCCUCUCAGUGCCGCCGCUAACGCAUUAAGCACUCCGCCUGGGGGGUACGGUCGCAAGAUUA